GCUUUGGUAGCUCAGUCGGAAGAGCGUUAGUCUCAUAUUUAGUAAUWAAUCGRGUAAUCUAAAGGUCGAGAGUUCGAACCUCCCCCAGAGCA
This is a non-coding RNA of Hanseniaspora opuntiae, 92 nucleotides long. Lineage: Eukaryota; Fungi; Ascomycota; Saccharomycetes; Saccharomycodales; Saccharomycodaceae. The record is from Rfam.